UGGGGAAUUUUGGACAAUGGGGGGAACCCUGAUCCAGCAAUGCCGCGUGUGUGAAGAAGGCCUGAGGGUUGUAAAGCACUUUAGGUGGGGAGGAAGGCGUAUCUGUUAAUAGUAGAUACGAUUGACGUUACCCACAGAAUAAGCACCGGCUAACUCUGUGCCAGCAGCCGCGGUAAUACAGAGGGUGCGAGCGUUAAUCGGAAUUAUUGGGCGUAAAGCGCAUGUAGGUGGUACGUUAAGUUUGAUGUGAAAGCCCUGGGCUUAACCUGGGAAUUGCGUUGAAGACUGGCGAACUAGAGUCGGACAGAGGGCCGUGGAAUUUCCGGUGUAGCGGUGAAAUGCGUAGAGAUCGGAAAGAACACCCGUGGCGAAGGCGGCGGCCUGGGUCCAGACUGACACUGAGGUGCGAAAGCAUGGGGAGCAAACAGGAUUAGAUACCCGCGUAGUCC
Molecule: ribosomal RNA, 449 nt
Filed under: uncultured bacterium
Lineage: Bacteria
Description: bacterial SSU rRNA
Rfam family: Bacterial small subunit ribosomal RNA
Source: RNAcentral